Triticum aestivum (bread wheat) is the source of this 102-nucleotide non-coding RNA. Lineage: Eukaryota; Viridiplantae; Streptophyta; Magnoliopsida; Poales; Poaceae. The record is from Rfam.
GGAAGGCGCAAGUAGGACACCUGCAUUACUUGCAAACAAGGCGCACCAUACUUGUGGCUUUCUUGCAAGUCGUGCAGUUGCUGCCUCAAGCUUGCUGCCUCC